AACGACUCUCGGCAACGGAUAUCUCGGCUCUUGCAUCGAUGAAGAACGUAGCGAAAUGCGAUACUUGGUGUGAAUUGCAGAAUCCCGCGAACCAGCGAAUUGCGAUACUUGUUGUGAAUUGCAGAAUCCCGCGAACCAUCAAUUCUUUGAACGCAAGUUGCGCCCGAAGCCAUCAGGCCGAGGGCACGCCUGCCUGGGUGUCGUGA
RNAcentral lists this ribosomal RNA (206 nucleotides) under Noterophila crassipes. RNAcentral describes it as "Acisanthera crassipes 5.8S ribosomal RNA". It matches the Rfam family "5.8S ribosomal RNA". Rfam says of the family: 5.8S ribosomal RNA (5.8S rRNA) is a component of the large subunit of the eukaryotic ribosome. It is transcribed by RNA polymerase I as part of the 45S precursor that also contains 18S and 28S rRNA. The record is from RNAcentral. Lineage: Eukaryota; Viridiplantae; Streptophyta; Magnoliopsida; Myrtales; Melastomataceae.